GGUUCCGUAGCUCAGCUGGUAGAGCGCUUGCUGCGUUAAAGCAUGGCGUUUCCGCCGCCGGUUCGAAUCCGCCGCAACCC
Paragonimus heterotremus is the source of this 80-nucleotide non-coding RNA. The record is from the annotation of a GenBank genome assembly. NCBI's taxonomy places the organism in Eukaryota, Metazoa, Platyhelminthes, Trematoda, Plagiorchiida, Troglotrematidae.